RNAcentral lists this ribosomal RNA (1342 nucleotides) under uncultured bacterium. RNAcentral describes it as "bacterial SSU rRNA". It matches the Rfam family "Bacterial small subunit ribosomal RNA", at positions 28 to 1381 of the family's 1533-position model. The record is from RNAcentral.
GACGAACGCUGGCGGCGUGCUUAACACAUGCAAGUCGAACGAUGAAGCCCAGCUUGCUGGGUGGAUUAGUGGCGAACGGGUGAGUAACACGUGAGUAACCUGCCCUUGACUCUGGGAUAAGCGUUGGAAACGACGUCUAAUACCGGAUACGAGCUUCCACCGCAUGGUGAGUUGCUGGAAAGAAUUUUGGUCAAGGAUGGACUCGCGGCCUAUCAGCUUGUUGGUGAGGUAAUGGCUCACCAAGGCGACGACGGGUAGCCGGCCUGAGAGGGUGACCGGCCACACUGGGACUGAGACACGGCCCAGACUCCUACGGGAGGCAGCAGUGGGGAAUAUUGCACAAUGGGCGAAAGCCUGAUGCAGCAACGCCGCGUGAGGGACGACGGCCUUCGGGUUGUAAACCUCUUUUAGCAGGGAAGAAGCGAAAGUGACGGUACCUGCAGAAAAAGCACCGGCUAACUACGUGCCAGCAGCCGCGGUAAUACGUAGGGUGCAAGCGUUGUCCGGAAUUAUUGGGCGUAAAGAGCUCGUAGGCGGUUUGUCGCGUCUGCUGUGAAAUCCCGAGGCUCAACCUCGGGUCUGCAGUGGGUACGGGCAGACUAGAGUGCGGUAGGGGAGAUUGGAAUUCCUGGUGUAGCGGUGGAAUGCGCAGAUAUCAGGAGGAACACCGAUGGCGAAGGCAGAUCUCUGGGCCGCUACUGACGCUGAGGAGCGAAAGGGUGGGGAGCAAACAGGCUUAGAUACCCUGGUAGUCCACCCCGUAAACGUUGGGCGCUAGAUGUGGGGACCAUUCCACGGUUUCCGUGUCGUAGCUAACGCAUUAAGCGCCCCGCCUGGGGAGUACGGCCGCAAGGCUAAAACUCAAAGGAAUUGACGGGGGCCCGCACAAGCGGCGGAGCAUGCGGAUUAAUUCGAUGCAACGCGAAGAACCUUACCAAGGCUUGACAUAUACGAGAACGGGCCAGAAAUGGUCAACUCUUUGGACACUCGUAAACAGGUGGUGCAUGGUUGUCGUCAGCUCGUGUCGUGAGAUGUUGGGUUAAGUCCCGCAACGAGCGCAACCCUCGUUCUAUGUUGCCAGCACGUAAUGGUGGGAACUCAUGGGAUACUGCCGGGGUCAACUCGGAGGAAGGUGGGGACGACGUCAAAUCAUCAUGCCCCUUAUGUCUUGGGCUUCACGCAUGCUACAAUGGCCAGUACAAAGGGCUGCAAUACCGUAAGGUGGAGCGAAUCCCAAAAAGCUGGUCCCAGUUCGGAUUGAGGUCUGCAACUCGACCUCAUGAAGUCGGAGUCGCUAGUAAUCGCAGAUCAGCAACGCUGCGGUGAAUACGUUCCCGGGCCU